Molecule: ribosomal RNA, 216 nt
Filed under: Glomeromycotina sp.
Lineage: Eukaryota; Fungi; Glomeromycota
Description: partial small subunit ribosomal RNA
Rfam family: Eukaryotic small subunit ribosomal RNA (bases 87-216)
Source: RNAcentral
GGGUCAGUAGGUUGGUCGUGCCACCGGUACGUACUGGUCUCACUGAUUCCUCCUUCCUGAAGAACCGUAAUGCCACUAACUUGGUGUUGCGGGGAAACAGGACUGUUACUUUGAAAAAAUUAGAGUGUUUAAAGCAAGCUAACGCUUGAAUACAUUAGCAUGGAAUAAUGAAAUAGGACGAUCGAUCCUAUUUUGUUGGUUUCUAGGAUUGACGUA